CAGAGUUGCAAAACUCCCUAAACCAUCGCGAACGUACCUUUACUGUUGCUUCGGCGGAGCCCUCACGGGCGCCCGCCGGCGGCACUACAAACUCUUUUUAUUACAGGCCUCUCUGAGUAUUUAUACAAAUAAGUUA
This 136-nucleotide unclassified non-coding RNA is filed under the name uncultured Sordariales. RNAcentral describes it as "sequence contains ITS1". The record is from RNAcentral. Lineage: Eukaryota; Fungi; Ascomycota; Sordariomycetes; Sordariales.